GAGCAUCAGAAUUUGGUGACUCACUGAAGGUGUGGGGGCUGAGAAAGAAGCAAGAUGACUCAAGUUUCAGCUCUGCAAUACAGGGUUCGCGUUGGUGCCUUUAACCAGGGAACAAAAUGUGCUAGCUGUGUGACUAUGGACACAUAUCUGCCCUGGUCUCUCUAUCUGGAAUAAGAAUCACAGGGGUGUUGUGAAAGACAACAGGAAGGCUUUCAACAAUACCCGGCAUACAGAUACAGUCAAUGAUAUGUGGACAUGCAUCAAAGCUUUCUCCUGUUGGUGACCAUCAUAGCCGUCCAAUGACCAUGACAUCCACCACCUCGCCCUUGUGGAGUUCCACGUACUGUUCUGUCUUUGGAGGUAGCAUCAAUAAUCCAUUGGCGCUGCGCAUGCUCAUCAGACGGCUGCUCAUCUGAUUACCUGGAAUGAAAUACUCUCAUUACUGCAGCACAGGCAUCAGUGCUACACGUGGAGAGGCCAGCAAAUGGAGCGCAGGGCUCCAAGGAAGAGAUGACCAGUCUUCCCAGCACCUUUUCCAGAAAGUCCAGAGGCUGACUGUUAUUGUAAAGAAGUAAGAAUGCUAGGAAGUCAGUGUUCAUAUGGGGGAAAGGACAGAUGGAAAAGGUAAAGUCUAUUAUUAUGGGUUGUAAUGAUCCUAGACAUAUGAAAUGAGAAAUUGAAGCAAUUAUUUUACUAUUGAAAGGAAAAGAGGUAGAUUUAAUAAACAAAUUCAAUAACUAACCAUCCACCAGUAUUCACUGUCGAUUUAAUAUGUGCUAGGCAUUAUUCAACUACCCAUUUAUAGAACUAUUUUCAGUGUAUAAGGAAUAGGCUUUUUUAUGUUGCUGAUAUUUUCUUUGCUGGUAGCAUAGCUUCCUAUUGCUCCUAAAUUGUUUUGUGCUUUCCUCUUAGUUUUUCUCUCUGUGUGUGGUCUCCAGUGCUAAAAUGCAGGAGCCACUUAUAUGGCUGCUUUGCAGCCAAUUUUAAAAAAAGAGAUGGUAGAUGUUAAAGUGAAAUAAAUGUAAGGAUUCCUACAAGCUUUGCAGUGUUGGAUAAGCAUGUGUCUCUUGGAACAAUAUGGAUUUUUCCUGCUUCCUCAGGUUACAAGUGUGAAUACAGUAAAUUCUCCAUUACUGGGUUGGCUGUGUAAAUCUGUAUGGACUUUGACUUUUUGAUCUGAUCAUAAUUUGUUUUCAUUCACGGUGGCCUUCCUGCCCCUUCUUCCUUCCUCUCCCUCCAUCUCUCUGUUUCUUACUUUGCCUACAAUUCUGUGAUUACUGAAAGGAAGCUCCAUUUGGGGGAGGGGAGGACACUAUGCCUGGCCAGGUGAUUUUAAGUGAUAUUUUAGGGAAAUAAGAUGCUUUUAUCUUCUUUCAUUCACAAAUCUCCAGUACUAACAGUAUCAGUGUUAGGACUGCUGAUGGACUAGAUUUUCAAAAAAAUUUUUAUUUUACAUAUAUGUGUCUGUGUGCACAUGCAAGUGCCACAGCAUUCAUGUUGGGGUCAGAGGUCAACUUUCAGGAAGCCAGGUUUAUCCCACCAAAUGGGUCCUAGGGGUUGAACUCAGGUUGUGAGGCGUGGCAGCAUGAGCCUUUAACCUGCUGAGCUAUCUUGUCAGUUGUUUUAGGUGUUCUUUGUUUGUGUUGUUUUUUUGAGACAGGGUUUCUCUGUGUAGCCCUGGCUGUCCUGGAACUCACUCUGUAGACCAGGCAGCCUUAAACUCAGAGAUCUGCCUGCCUUUGCCUCCUGAGUGCUGGAAUUAAUGGUGUGUGCUGGCAUUUUAGAUGUUUUUACACUAUGCAUCCUGAAUAAUAUUUUAUCACUAUUUCUUCUUUUGUGUUUUUUCAUUUUUAAAAAUAAUUUAUUUUUAUUUCAUGCACAUUCGUGUUUUGUCUGUGUGAAAGUGUCAGAUCUUCUGAAACUAGAGGUACAGGUAGUUAGAGCUGUCAUGUGAAUGCUGGGAAUUGAAUCUGUGUCCUCUGGAAGAACAACCACUUGCUCUUAACCACAGAGCCAUUUCUCCAACCCCUCUUCUGUGUUUUAUGUUCCUUUGGUCAACUAAUCAUAGAACUGUGUCAUAGGUAAAUUACUUUAAAACUUUUGAAAAGUAAUAGCUUGGUUCUAUAGGUUAUGAUGUCAAGAAAGUCAAUCGUUAGUAACACAGAAAAAUGUAUAACUGGUUGAGCAGUAAGUUAAAUCUGUAGUAGAGAAAGGGACUCUUACUGUAGUGUUUAGCCCUUGUCUGACUAAUGCUGUUCUAAACAGCACAUUCGCCUUCUCCUCCUCAAGUGCCACAGUCUUUUAGUACUUUGAUUGCCCCUCUUGAAUUUUUUGAAGAGCCAGCACAUACAAGCAAGCAGGUUAACUUCUGUCCUCAAUGGACUUCACUGGGGAAACAAUCUCACCUCUUACUCCAUACAGGUCUAGUGUGUGGUACAGGCUGUUUUCUGUUUGCUGGUUUGUUCUUAGGACCCACUAGAUAUUUGAAGACUUGCUCUCUGGAUUCUUUUAAAUACUUUUAAAGUUUAAAACAUUUUAUUUAUUUUUAUGUGUAUGAGUGCUUUGCCUGUGUAUGUCUGUAUGCCAUGUAUAUACAAUGCCUGAGGAGAAGGCCAGAAGAGGGCAUCAGAUCCCCUAGGACUUAAGUGACAGAAAGUUGUGAGCUGCAUGUGGGUGCUGGAAAUUGAAUCUUGGUCCUCUGGUAGAGCAGCUAGUACUUCUGAGCCAUCCUCUUUAUAUUUGAGGGACAUAAGAGUGAAUGUUCCCUUCUACUUUCCAUCACAAAGGAGAGAAUAUUAAUACAUUUAUGAGAAAACAAAUCUAAAAUUAUAGGCAUCUAUUUUGGGCAGUUAGUAAUUGUUAUCAGGCUUCCAUUUUGGUUUCUGGUGAUUAGAAACCAAAUAGGAAACAUUACCCUGGCU
This is a non-coding RNA of Cricetulus griseus (Chinese hamster), 2921 nucleotides long. NCBI's taxonomy places the organism in Eukaryota, Metazoa, Chordata, Mammalia, Rodentia, Cricetidae. The record is from RefSeq and is a predicted model, not a curated record.